AGGCCUAAACAUGCAAGUCGAACGGUAACAGGAAGCAGCUUGCUGCUUCGCUGACGAGUGGCGGACGGGUGAGUAAUGUCUGGGAAACUGCCUGAUGGAGGGGGAUAACUACUGGAAACGGUAGCUAAUACCGCAUAACGUCGCAAGACCAAAGAGGGGGACCUUCGGGCCUCUUGCCAUCGGAUGUGCCCAGAUGGGAUUAGCUAGUAGGUGGGGUAACGGCUCACCUAGGCGACGAUCCCUAGCUGGUCUGAGAGGAUGACCAGCCACACUGGAACUGAGACACGGUCCAGACUCCUACGGGAGGCAGCAGUGGGGAAUAUUGCACAAUGGGCGCAAGCCUGAUGCAGCCAUGCCGCGUGUAUGAAGAAGGCCUUCGGGUUGUAAAGUACUUUCAGCGGGGAGGAAGGCGAUAAGGUUAAUAACCUUGUCGAUUGACGUUACCCGCAGAAGAAGCACCGGCUAACUCCGUGCCAGCAGCCGCGGUAAUACGGAGGGUGCAAGCGUUAAUCGGAAUUACUGGGCGUAAAGCGCACGCAGGCGGUCUGUCAAGUCGGAUGUGAAAUCCCCGGGCUCAACCUGGGAACUGCAUUCGAAACUGGCAGGCUAGAGUCUUGUAGAGGGGGGUAGAAUUCCAGGUGUAGCGGUGAAAUGCGUAGA
Molecule: ribosomal RNA, 660 nt
Filed under: Enterobacter hormaechei
Lineage: Bacteria; Pseudomonadati; Pseudomonadota; Gammaproteobacteria; Enterobacterales; Enterobacteriaceae
Description: bacterial SSU rRNA
Rfam family: Bacterial small subunit ribosomal RNA
Source: RNAcentral